AACGGUUAGUGUGCCGCUCAAACUCCGAGCAGGACCGAAGAUGUCAAGCUUAUUUACAGCUACUAGCAAUGUCACUGGGUCUGUCGACUAAGGCGCUACUACAAAAGCUGGUGGUGGAAGGAGGCGGCUCAGAAAUGUAGAGACGAUGACGUAGAUGGCGAGAGAGUGGAUUGCAUACCCACAGAGAGUAUGAUCGGGUAUCUCUGACAAGUCUGACCAAAAGCUGUUAAAGUUCAGACUUCACACUCUGCUACAAGGAGGUCACCCUUAAUUUGGAAGCAGUCAAGCUAGAACAACAAACAUGUGUCCCAUACAAACCAGAGGUGGGAACCUACUUGACACAGACAGCCUUGCAGAACCGGUCCAAAAGUAACAACAGUACCGCAACAACAUAAUGAGGAGUCUAUAUGAAAUGCAGUGUACAAUUUGUGCGAUGAGGUCGAUGCUAUGCAACCCUUUGCAGUCAACAAUUGCCACCACUUCAGUGAAAACUUCACAUUUGGAUUUGUCACUGAAAAAAACCCACAUGGAUGAAAGAGAAUCCCUUGGCUGAGGAUAUUAUUACAGAAUGAUCCCCUAACUCCCAUCCAAUCAUUCAACUGAAAGACCACGACUGGAAAACUGCCCUCUACAGACAUUGCAGUGUUUUCAAAUUGGAAGGAAUUGAAGUUUGUUCCUGCACUUCAGUGGAUGCCUCAUCCAGUUUAUCACAGCCUUCUGCUUCGUCUUCAACAUGACAUAUCCUACAAACUUUCAAAAGACCCUGAACUUUCUCCGAAGGCACAUCAUGGACUUUAUGGAAGAUUGAGACAAACCCCUGCUGGUAACUGUAACUUGAGGCAUUAACCUUCUUUACUGAAAAUGCCUGGACUGCAUUACUGUUUGAAAUGUUCAAAGAGGACCUUUGCUCUGAGGCAAGUGAUUCAACACACUGGACUUGUACAUGCCCACAAACCUUUCUUUUCGGUGGCAUGUUUAUUGAAAACACAAAGACAAAAUUUCUAAUUGCUGAAAAAAAACCCUGAAGAACCUUUCAAAUAACUAGUAUAACUUACCCACACCUGGUAUUUUAAAGAUGUGCAGUUUCAGGAUACAGUACUUCAGCGUAUGUCAUCUUUAUCUGGUAAUGGUGUCAAAGGAUGUUUUUGUUGUAGGUAAUGUACACCCUGAAGCCAUCUCUUUAUUGAAAAUUAAUCACAAUCUGAACAUUGAGACUUUGUGUGUUGGGGUGUUGUGUAGGAAACUUGUCAUCAAUUGGAAUCUGCUAAAUCCACCAUCAGGCUCUAGACACAUUUAGUUGAUGGUAGAUUCAUUGAGGUAUUUCUGUCUAAAUAUUAUCUGCCAAAAUAUAUUUUUUUACUUUUUGUCUAAAUAUGCUUAUACUGUUUUGUUGAUGCAUAGUGUACAUGCAGACGUGGGACAAAUCAAAGUAUCUUUUGUUCUAUGUGUUCUGUAGUUUCAGAGUAGGUGUAGUUUCAUAUUUUUUGUAAAACUAUCUGCAAUGAAUUAACUUUGUAUUACCACAAAUACAUGUCAUGUUCAUCUGGAAAAUUACAUUUUCAUUGAUGUCAAUAAACAGUCAAAGUAUUAUUGUGUGGAGAAUUAUGGUACAUUUUUGUCUCCUUAAAGUCCAGAAUAGCUUGUCGCAGGGGUGGUACCCUUAAUAGGACAUUUUAGUACCCUUUUAAUGGGUACAUUAUUGUACUAUAGUUUAAAAGGUACGUUUAUGUCUUGCAGGGUACACAAUUGUACCAAUUUCAUAAGGUACAAAAAUGUACCGGCACUAAAGGGUACACAAUUGUCCCUCAAAAGGGUACCUCCCCUGCGACAAGCAUUUGUACCCUUUUAAGUACACACCCGUACUUCUAUUUCUGAGUGUGGGAUGGGGAGGGAAAGCAUUCAUUUUGUAAAUGACGUGCUCCUCAAACUGAGCACAAAUUACAUUUCUCAAGGCUGUUGAAUAAUCAGAUUCCCAUAUUGCUGAGCAAGGAGGACACAGAAUGUACAAUAAAGAUUAAAGGUAAAUGUA
Molecule: long non-coding RNA, 2029 nt
Organism: Micropterus salmoides (largemouth bass)
Lineage: Eukaryota; Metazoa; Chordata; Actinopteri; Centrarchiformes; Centrarchidae
Exons: 5
Source: RefSeq, a predicted model, not a curated record